CACCUUGUUAGUCUGUUUGUUAUACAGCUGGAGAGAGAGAGAGAGAGAGUUUGAGAAGAGAGAAAGAAGAGAAAGAGAGGAAAGAGAGAGAUUGUGAGGAGAGAGAAGAGAAAGAGAGACAGAGAGCAGGCUUGGUGUAAACUUUUCACUGCAUUCUGUGUUAUUCACCCAGGAAGAUCAGGUGGUGUAGCAGAAGUGAUCAUGGCUGCAGUGUGCAAACACCUGUGGGUGGCGCUCUUGCUUUGUCUUAUUGGCCAAACAGCAGCAUUUGGCUGUUCAAAAAGAAUUUAAAACUCAGAACAAUGGGGAAGAAAGCUUUGGAGACCCACAUGCAGUGUGAAAAACACAAAGCACAAUUCAUGGGACAGCUCAGGAUUUGCUUCACCAUAUCAAAGUAAGUACCAGCCAAUCACAAAUUAUUUUUAUGUAUCGUAGCAAGCAAUAAUUAUUCGUAUCAGAUAUGGAGUUUAUAUAUAAAUAUAUAAAAUACACACUUCAUAUAUAGAGAGCUAUAUAACAUUUUUCAUUUUGGUUGUUUCA
Hemibagrus wyckioides is the source of this 540-nucleotide long non-coding RNA. RefSeq lists it as uncharacterized. Lineage: Eukaryota; Metazoa; Chordata; Actinopteri; Siluriformes; Bagridae. The transcript has 3 exons. The record is from RefSeq and is a predicted model, not a curated record.